CCUACGGGAGGCAGCAGUGGGGAAUAUUGGGCAAUGGGCGCAAGCCUGACCCAGCAACGCCGCGUGAAGGAAGAAGGCCUUCGGGUUGUAAACUUCUUUUAUCAGGGACGAAGCAAGUGACGGUACCGGAGGAAUAAGCCACGGCUAACUACGUGCCAGCGGCAGCGGGAAGACGGAGUUGGCAAUGGUUAUCCGGAUUUACUGGGUGUAAAGGGCGGGGAGGCGGGGGUGGAAGGCAGAUGUGCAAACUAUGGGCUCAACCCAUAGCCUGCAUGUGAAACUGUACUUUUGCAGUGCUGGAGAGGCAAUCGGAAUUCCGUGUGUAGCGGUGAAAUGCGUAGAUAUACGGAGGAACCCCCGUGGCGACGGCGGAUUGCUGGACAGUAACUGACGCUGCGGCGCGAAAGCGUGGGGAGCAAACAGGAUUAGAUACCCCAGUAGUC
RNAcentral lists this ribosomal RNA (443 nucleotides) under uncultured bacterium. RNAcentral's name for it is "partial 16S ribosomal RNA". It matches the Rfam family "Bacterial small subunit ribosomal RNA", at positions 338 to 795 of the family's 1533-position model. The record is from RNAcentral.